This is a non-coding RNA of Acanthosepion pharaonis, 114 nucleotides long. The record is from the annotation of a GenBank genome assembly. Lineage: Eukaryota; Metazoa; Mollusca; Cephalopoda; Sepiida; Sepiidae.
UUACGGCCAUCUCACGUUGAUCACCAAUUCCUGUACGAUCACUAAAGUUAAGCAACGUUGUGCCUAGUUAGUACCUAGAUUGGUGACCCGCUUUGAAAUACCAGGUGCUGUAAG